This is a long non-coding RNA of Apis cerana (Asiatic honeybee), 3479 nucleotides long. RefSeq lists it as uncharacterized. NCBI's taxonomy places the organism in Eukaryota, Metazoa, Arthropoda, Insecta, Hymenoptera, Apidae. The record is from RefSeq and is a predicted model, not a curated record.
AAUUCCAAAAAUAAUUUAACAUAAUAUAUAAUUUAAUCAUUAAUGAAACUGAUAAGUGAAAUAUUAUCGAGAAUGAGAAGAAAGAAAUGAAAAAAAUGCGUUUAUCAGGAAAAAUCGAUAUUCAGGUAUGGUUACUAUCACUCGAAGAAUAUAAGAUUUCGUUUAAAUAAUCAACCUUUAUCGAUCUUCAUACCUUUAUGUUCACUUACGAAAUAAAUAACACCAUUUAAUUAUGUCAUCUUGCAUACUUUUGCGCCAAGCAUUUUUCCAUACAGCUUAAUUUAAUUUACGAUCGAUUCGCAGUGAUCACAUCCAUAUCGUGCUAUUUAAAUUAUGACAAUACUUAGAUACGAAAAUACUUAUCACGCUAAAAGAUACGAUAUCUAAACACAAAUACUACGCAUGAUUUAUUAUGCGUGAUUUAUAACGCUAAAAUAUUAACAUUCGAGAUCUUGGAAUGAGUGAAAGCAUUUUAUCAUCUGAUAAGAGGGUUAAAACAAGGAGUCCUGCGAAGAAUUCAGGUCACGAUGGAUAAGAUCGAAAAAUUAUAACCUAGGUUUAUUAAACCCGAGACAACUUUCUCACAGGUUUAGGAGUCGCAUGGUUCAUGAACUUUAACGUUAAGUUCAACACAUCUCUUGCAAACUCGAAAGAUGUACGCUCAUUACGUUCUUCUUACAAAACAAAUACGAGCCAACUAAAUUUCUAACCUUACUUGACUAUAUUGCCGUUUAAAUGGCGCGGGAAACGGCACAGUCACUUUCUUCCAGCCAAUCGGUUUUUUUCGAUGGAUUUUUAAACUGGAUUGGUCGUUAAUUCAAUUUAUACCAUCAAAAAAUAAGGAUCAACAUGAGAAAAUUUCCAAACCUGAUCGAUCGAAAACUCGCCAUUAAAAAAUUAAUAUUCUAUUUUACUAUUAUUCAUAGAUUGUUAAUUUUUAAUUCUUAUAUAAUGUUGCAAAUGAUUUGUGUUGCAAAUACAAAAUGUAUUUCUUCUCAGCCUUGUGUUAUUUUUAAUUAAUCAGACUAGGUCAAGAUAUGACUAAUAGUCGAAAUGAAUAAUCAGAGUUUUAAUUUUCAUUUAUGCACUUUUUUUCAGUGAUACCGACAACUCGUUAUAAUAUUUUUUUGAAAAUAUGUAUUUUUAAAUUUAAUUUGAAUUACGAUUACUUUUAUAAUUUUUUAAGAAGAAUUUUUUAAUAAAAACAGUUUCAUUAAAAAAACUAAAGGUAACUCUGUUCAACAAAUAUUCUCUGUAACAAAUAUUCGAAUUGUUAAAUAAACAUAACAUGUGUAACCAAAUCAUGCAUUAUUUAACUUGCCAACUUCAAUUUGUUUAAUGAAAUUUCAUUCUAAUUUUAUCUUAAUUUUCUUGUAUAGAAGUAUAAAACACUCUGUAUAUUGAGACUAGACAUUUCCAUCUAUCCGAACGAGACGAAUUCUAUUUCAGAUUCGCUUGAACGGAUCGGAUUACCUACGCCAUUCGAUAUUUUAAUAGUUACGUCGAUAGUACAGCGCAUCGAUUAUCUAACCCAUAUCCUUAUAAAAAUUAGCCGUGGCUUGGCAAACGCAAUACAAUCCUCGCGAUCUCGGCCGUGGCGAUGCGUUAUUGCGUGAUAACUUGUGUCGAAUGGCAAAUGUUUGAUUCACACCUGUGUCUUUCCUUCUCGUUUACAUAAAAUGUGUACAUGUUGAUGUUAAAAAUUAUCAAGAUGUGUUCAUUUUAUGAUUAUGAUUAACUAGUCACGUUUUUUCAACUUUUCUCGAUUUUUUGUAUAAUUAUUAACACUUUGUUAGGUUAAGUAUGAUUAGGUUAGGUUAGGUUAGGAUAAGAUGUUUAAUUUUAAUUUUUUGACAAUUGAGCAUUCGAAAUAGAAAUUUUUGCAAUCUAAUUAACAUUUAAUUUUUAAUGAUCAUUCAUUUGAAAUUAUUUAUAUUGAUUUGCAUGAUAAUAAUUCAUAUAGAAAUAGAUUAAAUUAUUUAAUUUCGAUUUUCCAUAAUUUUUCGAUGAUUGAACAUUCGAUCUUAUAAUUUUAAUUAGUUUUUAAUGUUCAAAUUAUGUUUUACAUUGAUUUACGCCAAUGACAAUUUAUUAAAUUUAAAGGAGAUAAAUAUAAAAUUGAAUGUAUUAUAUCUGUACAAUCAUGAUUAGCUUACUGAAUUUUCAGCAAUUGUUUCCUAGCUUGUAAUUCAGCUCAUCUUAUGUGCCAUCAUUUACCUUGAAAAUAUAUUUCCUGCGUAUAUCUUUUCAUUUUUUGAACAUCGAAGUCCGGUUUUGUGUAAAUUUUAGUAUUUUAUGUCUUUUGUAACCAUAAAAUAUAUACUUUCAUGUUUCAUAGACUUUUGUUACGUACUUCAAUGAAUUUUUAUGUUCAAAUUUUUUUUUGUAAUAUUUAGGAAACUUAAAAUCUAGUUGAAUGUUAACUAGUUGUCGUAAAUUUUAAUAUUAUUAAACUUUAUAGAGUAGAAUUUUUGACGAAUUUCAACGAUUUUCAAAAUUACUAUCAUUUUAUUCUAAAUAUUAUAUUAGCGUGUAUCAUUGUCUAGAGAUACGAUAGAAAGUAGAAACUAGAAUCAAGUAGAAAAGGAUCGUCUCUUGUCAGACAUAGUCUAUAUAUAUCUACAUAACUUAUCAACAAUUAUAUUAUAUAUUAUAUAUUAUUAUAUACUUUAUAUUAUAAUUAUAUAUUCUCUUAUAAACUAAAUUAUUCUUUAUACAAAAUUUAGUAACAAAUAAUUAAAAUUUUCAAAUAAAAUUAAUAUAAUGGCAUUUCUAUAUUCAUCCUAAAAAAUAAGUUUUUUUCAAUAAGAAUUAAAAAAAAGAAAUUAAAAAACAAAAAAUAAUUAGUUCCCAAUUUUAAAUCAAUAUUGAAAUACUUAAAUAUAAUAUAAUUAUAAAUAGAAAUUUAACUUUCAAUAUCGAAAAACCAUAAUGGCAAAAAAUAAAUUUUACUAAAAUUUUAUAUUAAAAUUAGAAAUUCCAGACAUUUUAGAGACAAUGUAUUUAUUAUUUUUUACAAUGAUUCGAUUAAUACAGUGUUUCUCAACCUACAAUUUACAUUUAACAUAUAAUAUUUCACCAAAUGUUCAAAAUUUGAAAAAAAAAAUUAUCUAGAGCUAAAAUAUUAAUUAUGGAGUUCUCCAAAAAGUUAUCCAUCGUUUUGUUAUUCUAUCUCGAAUAAACAUAAUAAAUCGCACAUACGAGUAAUCGCAGCUGGCAGAAGUGUUUUGUCUGAAAGCAUUAAUGACUCGUUGCAACCCCAGGGAUACCGAGGCACGUUUUCACCGUGUGCCUUUCCGCUUCAUCCCAAUCUACUCGUUCGUAAUAAGACGUGGAAAUACCGGUUGACUCUUAUUAUUAACCCCUUCCGCGACUGGUUGCUCACCUCCUAGCGAAUUUCACCUAACCAACUCGCAAUUAUGCGGUCGCAUAUUAUCUUUCAGACCACGAUGAUAGAGUCGCUCUUUGUGCGGAAAACC